GCCCGGGUGGCAGAAUAGUGCUUUACUUUUAAGCAGUGAGAAUGUAGGAGAUCCUACCUCGGGUU
RNAcentral lists this transfer RNA (65 nucleotides) under Spirobranchus giganteus. Its description in RNAcentral is "tRNA-Leu". Lineage: Eukaryota; Metazoa; Annelida; Polychaeta; Sabellida; Serpulidae. The record is from RNAcentral.